Non-coding RNA from Caenorhabditis elegans, 57 nucleotides. NCBI's taxonomy places the organism in Eukaryota, Metazoa, Nematoda, Chromadorea, Rhabditida, Rhabditidae. The record is from Ensembl.
UUCUAGCGCAAUUUUGAAAUUUUCGGGUUACGGUAGCGCCGAGAGUACGCAAACACC